This 253-nucleotide ribosomal RNA is filed under the name uncultured bacterium. RNAcentral's name for it is "partial 16S ribosomal RNA". It matches the Rfam family "Bacterial small subunit ribosomal RNA", at positions 524 to 776 of the family's 1533-position model. The record is from RNAcentral.
UACGUAGGGUGCAAGCGUUGUCCGGAAUUAUUGGGCGUAAAGAGCUCGUAGGCGGUUUGUCGCGUCUGCUGUGAAAACUCGGGGCUUAACUCCGGGCCUGCAGUGGGUACGGGCAGACUAGAGUGCGGUAGGGGAGACUGGAAUUCCUGGUGUAGCGGUGAAAUGCGCAGAUAUCAGGAGGAACACCGGUGGCGAAGGCGGGUCUCUGGGCCGUAACUGACGCUGAGAAGCGAAAGCGUGGGGAGCGAACAGG